RNAcentral lists this non-coding RNA (25 nucleotides) under Drosophila melanogaster (fruit fly). RNAcentral also lists the same sequence under 9 other names. Lineage: Eukaryota; Metazoa; Arthropoda; Insecta; Diptera; Drosophilidae. The record is from RNAcentral.
UACCUGGUUGAUCCUGCCAGUAGCA